GUGACUGCGUACCUUUUGUAUAAUGGGUCAGCGACUUAUAUUCUGUAGCAAGGUUAACCGUAUAGGGGAGCCGAAGGGAAACCGAGUCUUAACUGGGCGUUAAGUUGCAGGGUAUAGACCCGAAACCCGGUGAUCUAGCCAUGGGCAGGUUGAAGGUGACCGAACCGACUAAUGUUGAAAAAUUAGCGGAUGACCUGUGGCUGGGGGUGAAAGGCCAAUCAAACCGGGAGAUAGCUGGUUCUCCCCGAAAGCUAUUUAGGUAGCGCCUCGUGAACUCAUCUUCGGGGGUAGAGCACUGUUUCGGCUAGGGGGCCAUCCCGGCUUACCAACCCGAUGCAAACUACGAAUACCGAAGAAUGUUAUCACGGGAGACACACGGCGGGUGCUAACGUCCGUCGUGAAGAGGGAAACAACCCAGACCGCCAGCUAAGGUCCCAAAGUCAUGGUUAAGUGGGAAACGAUGUGGGAAGGCACAGACAGCCAGGAUGUUGGCUUAGAAGCAGCCAUCAUUUAAAGAAAGCGUAAUAGCUCACUGGUCGAGUCGGCCUGCGCGGAAGAUGUAACGGGGCUAAACCAUGCACCGAAGCUGCGGCAGCGACACUAUGUGUUGUUGGGUAGGGGAGCGUUCUGUAAGCCGUUGAAGGUGUGCUGUGAGGCAUGCUGGAGGUAUCAGAAGUGCGAAUGCUGACAUAAGUAACGAUAAAGCGGGUGAAAAGCCCGCUCGCCGGAAGACCAAGGGUUCCUGUCCAACGUUAAUCGGGGCAGGGUGAGUCGACCCCUAAGGCGAGGCCGAAAGGCGUAGUCGAUGGGAAACAGGUUAAUAUUCCUGUACUUGGUGUUACUGCGAAGGGGGGACGGAGAAGGCUAUGUCAGCCGGGCGACGGUUGUCCCGGUUUAAGCAUGUAGGCGGAGGUUCCAGGUAAAUCCGGUACCUUAUUAACGCUGAGGUGUGAUGACGAGGCACUACGGUGCUGAAGUGAUAAAUGCCCUGCUUCCAGGAAAAGCCUCUAAGCAUCAGGUAACACGAAAUCGUACCCCAAACCGACACAGGUGGUCAGGUAGAGAAUACCAAGGCGCUUGAGAGAACUCGGGUGAAGGAACUAGGCAAAAUGGUGCCGUAACUUCGGGAGAAGGCACGCUGAUAUGUAGGUGAAGCCCCUGCGGGCGGAGCUGAAAUCAGUCGAAGAUACCAGCUGGCUGCAACUGUUUAUUAAAAACACAGCACUGUGCAAACACGAAAGUGGACGUAUACGGUGUGACGCCUGCCCGGUGCCGGAAGGUUAAUUGAUGGGGUUAGCGGCAACGCGAAGCUCUUGAUCGAAGCCCCGGUAAACGGCGGCCGUAACUAUAACGGUCCUAAGGUAGCGAAAUUCCUUGUCGGGUAAGUUCCGACCUGCACGAAUGGCGUAAUGAUGGCCAGGCUGUCUCCACCCGAGACUCAGUGAAAUUGAACUCCCCGUGAACCUUUACUAUAGCUUGACACUGAACACUGGUCCUUGAUGUGUAGGAUAGGUGGGAGGCUUUGAAGCGUGGACGCCAGUCUGCGUGGAGCCGCCCUUGAAAUACCACCCUUUAAUGGCUGGUGUUCUAACGUAGACCCGUGAUCCGGGUUGCUGUCUGGUGGGUAGUUUGACUGGGGCGGUCUCCUCCCAAAGAGUAACGGAGGAGCACGAAGGUUGGCUAAUCCUGGUCGGACAUCAGGAGGUUAGUGCAAUGGCAUAAGCCAGCUUGACUGCGAGCGUGACGGCGCGAGCAGGUGCGAAAGCAGGUCAUAGUGAUCCGGUGGUUCUGAAUGGAAGGGCCAUCGCUCAACGGAUAAAAGGUACUCCGGGGAUAACAGGCUGAUACCGCCCAAGAGUUCAUAUCGACGGCGGUGUUUGGCACCUCGAUGUCGGCUCAUCACAUCCUGGGGCUGAAGUAGGUCCCAAGGGUAUGGCUGUUCGCCAUUUAAAGUGGUACGCGAGCUGGGUUUAGAACGUCGUGAGACAGUUCGGUCCCUAUCUGCCGUGGGCGCUGGAGAAUUGAGGGGGGCUGCUCCUAGUACGAGAGGACCGGAGUGGACGCAUCACUGGUGUUCGGGUU
Molecule: ribosomal RNA, 2082 nt
Filed under: Enterobacter cloacae complex sp. 2DZ2F20B
Lineage: Bacteria; Pseudomonadati; Pseudomonadota; Gammaproteobacteria; Enterobacterales; Enterobacteriaceae
Description: partial 23S ribosomal RNA
Rfam family: Bacterial large subunit ribosomal RNA
Source: RNAcentral